This is a non-coding RNA of Danionella cerebrum, 69 nucleotides long. Lineage: Eukaryota; Metazoa; Chordata; Actinopteri; Cypriniformes; Danionidae. The record is from the annotation of a GenBank genome assembly.
UCCUGUGGCUCAGUUGGUAGAGCAGCUAAACAAUACAAAGGUCGUGGGUUCGAAUCCCAGGCAAAGGAU